Molecule: long non-coding RNA, 568 nt
Organism: Etheostoma spectabile (orangethroat darter)
Lineage: Eukaryota; Metazoa; Chordata; Actinopteri; Perciformes; Percidae
Exons: 5
Source: RefSeq, a predicted model, not a curated record
UUAAUCCUUAAUCCCAGCAACCUAUUUCUGGUCACAUACACUGCUCUCUCCGCCAUUUUCGUAGCUGGUGUCGCAGAGGUGAUCGGCGUAGUUUUAUGUUUCUCUAAGGUCCGUUUUGAAAGCGAUUGACUUGUUAUUAUCAACGAAGUUAGUCUUCGAUAACACAGUAUAAUUUAGCAAGACACUAAACGGCACAAGAAGAUGUCCACCGAGCAGGCCGAAAAUACUAACGUGGCCGAGAAAGCAGGCCAGCCGCAGCAGCAGCCUGGAGAAGUGAAUGGGAAAGCCAAGCAUGAGUCCAAUGCAAGCAGGAAGGAGAGGCCCAGAAAAGAGGUGGAGGAGGGCGCUACGAACCUUAUGGAAACGUGAACAAAAGAUACCGCGUUUUUGUCAGCAACAUUCCCUAUGAUGUCAAAUGGCAAGCUCUCAAAGACCUGAUGAAAGAGAAAGUGGGUGAGGUAACGUACGUGGAACACUUAAUGGACGCAGAAGGCAAAUCGAGGGGUUGUGCUGUUGUUGAGUUUAGGACUGAAGAGCUAAUGAAGAAAGCAGUGGAGAAGGUCAACAA